RNAcentral lists this ribosomal RNA (253 nucleotides) under uncultured bacterium. Its description in RNAcentral is "partial 16S ribosomal RNA". It matches the Rfam family "Bacterial small subunit ribosomal RNA", at positions 524 to 776 of the family's 1533-position model. The record is from RNAcentral.
UACGUAGGGUGCAAGCGUUGUUCGGAUUCACUGGGCGUAAAGGGUGCGUAGGCGGUCGGGUAAGUCUGAUGUGAAAUCUCACAGCUUAACUGUGAAACUGCAUUGGAUACUAUCCGGCUAGAGGAAUGGAGGGGAGACUGGAAUACUUGGUGUAGCAGUGAAAUGCGUAGAUAUCAAGUGGAACACCAGUGGCGAAGGCGAGUCUCUGGACAUUUCCUGACGCUGAGGCACGAAAGCCAGGGGAGCAAACGGG